Long non-coding RNA from Nerophis ophidion (straightnose pipefish), 807 nucleotides. RefSeq lists it as uncharacterized. The record is from RefSeq and is a predicted model, not a curated record. The transcript is spliced from 3 exons. NCBI's taxonomy places the organism in Eukaryota, Metazoa, Chordata, Actinopteri, Syngnathiformes, Syngnathidae.
ACGGUCUUACAAAGUUGGAAGAUGAUUUUCGAGGUGUGUUUAAACCUUCAAAUUAUUUAAUAUUAUGUGUAUUCAUUAUUUAGUUUCAUAGAGGAUUUGCCGUAAGAUCCUAACGCGAUCGUUUUAACACAAUCGCAGUCUGCUGGCGGGUCCGUCAACGGCCGUUCCAGGCAGAGGAGAAGGCUUGAUUGCGCCAAAGACUCCAGACAUCGAAUCCUUGCUCCGAGGGGAAAUCAUCGAAAACGACGGUGAAUGUCCGACAGGCACCCGCUAUUGGUAGCACUGGACAAGUCGGAUAUCCUUGCUUGGAUCCUUUUAAAGUUGCCCGAUAAACUGCUGAGAGUUGAUCUCUCCUCUUGUCCAAAGGUUUUUCGUUCAUUUUUACUUGUAAUACUGGCACUAGGGUUGAUGUAGUAGCUCCACAACAUAACCUUAAAGCCUGUGACUGGAUCCGGUCUAUUUUCCCAAGUCAUGUUUUUGAAGCAGAUUGGUAAAUAAUGCAUCCGUAAUCAAUAACAGAUGGAAUUAAAGUUAUAAAUAUAUACAUGUAUUGUUUUCAACGUUAACCUAUCAGCCCCCCAAUCAUUACCCCUCAAAGACCUCAUUAUAUUUAACACCUUUUUACUUUUUCCCCUAUUUUUUUAUUUUCCGGAAGGAACACUCCUGAAGGAAUAAAUAAAGUACUAUCUAAUCUAAUCUAAUCAAAUCUAUUUUGCUGAUGUGGGUUGACUAGUUCAUAUUUUUAUCAAACCAUAUUCCUAAAUAUUUAAAUACUUGUACCUCUUCUAUAUUUUCACCUUAGAGUUU